RNAcentral lists this ribosomal RNA (399 nucleotides) under uncultured bacterium. RNAcentral's name for it is "bacterial SSU rRNA". It matches the Rfam family "Bacterial small subunit ribosomal RNA", at positions 360 to 776 of the family's 1533-position model. The record is from RNAcentral.
AAUAUUGGACAAUGGGCGCAAGCCUGAUCCAGCAAUGCCGCGUGAGUGAUGAAGGCCUUAGGGUUGUAAAGCUCUUUUACCCGGGAUGAUAAUGACAGUACCGGGAGAAUAAGCCCCGGCUAACUCCGUGCCAGCAGCCGCGGUAAGACGGAGGGGGCUAGCGUUGUUCGGAAUUACUGGGCGUACAGCGCGCGUAGGCGGCUUUGUAAGUUAGAGGUGAAAGCCCGGAGCUUAACUCCGGAACUGCCUUUAAGACUGCAUCGCUAGAAUUGUGGAGAGGUGAGUGGAAUUCCGAGUGUAGAGGUGAAAUUCGUAGAUAUUCGGAGGAACACCAGUGGCGAAGGCGGCUCACUGGCUCGAUACUGACGCUGAGGUGCGAAAGCGUGGGGAGCAAACAGG